CCCUUAGAUGUUCUGGGCCGCACGCGCGCUACACUGACGAAUGCAACGAGCUUAUAACCUUGGCCGAAAGGUCUGGGUAAUCUCCAAAUUUCGUCGUGAUGGGGAUAGAUUAUUGCAAUUAUUAAUCUUCAACGAGGAAUUCCUAGUAAACGCAAGUCAUCAGCUUGCAUUGAUUACGUCCCUGCCCUUUGUACACACCGCCCGUCGCACCUACCGAUUGAAUGGUCCGGUGAAAUCUCGGGACGGCGGCUCGGUCGCUUGCGUCCGACUGCUGAAACUUGAUUAAACCAUAUCAUUUAGAGGAAGGUGAANUCGUANCA
Molecule: ribosomal RNA, 320 nt
Filed under: uncultured eukaryote
Lineage: Eukaryota
Description: partial 18S ribosomal RNA
Rfam family: Eukaryotic small subunit ribosomal RNA
Source: RNAcentral